CUUGUUUUUCAGAGCAUCGUGCAGCCUCAGCCAAUCUGCUGUUGGAUUAAACACAAAACCAAGCCCCAUAAAUGCUAAAGGGAAAAAAAAAAGAAGGGCAAGAGGGGCAUUAAAAUUCACAUUGUAGCCAUUUCCUACCAGACAACUGAAGUCCAAUUCCUCUAAUCUUGCAUGGAUUACAGCAAGUCAUACCCUAUUCCUUAUGUUCAACUGCUGUAUGGUGCUUCAGGUCGUGCUUUGCCUCACCAAGAGAGUAUGUGAAUUCUGAGAACCAUUUAUUUUUUAAUUUUUCCUUGAAAAACAUACUCUUACCCAGACCACAGGUAGCCACCCAUCUCCCCACCUUUUGCAAACACCCUCACGCCUCCUUUCCCGACAGCUCCAUUCCAUGCUUUGCCUCUCUCCUUUUCCAAGUGUUUUCUUAGCGCACGCACCCCAGUCUAUGAAAUUCGUCACAGCGUCACGGAAGGCUCUGGGCUGGAAGGCGCUUUAGAGAUGCCCGCGGUGCCCCGGGCAGGGGAUGCCAUUCCCUCGGUGAGGCGGCUCUGCCGGGCCGGGCCGGGCCGGGCCGGGCCGUGAGGGGCGGGAGCGCGCCCGGAGCCGCGCCCGCGCCGGGCAGCAGCUCUGCCUCUGCUCCUCUAGUGGCAGCGACGCCCCGACGGAAAGGAGGGAAAGAAAACAAACGCCUACUUCUCUUUUCUAAGUUUUUUUGUUUGUUUGUUUGGGGGUUUUUUGUUGGGUUUUUUUCCCCCCAUGUAUUAGUAGCACAUAUUAAAAAGCACAAUUUGUUUUCUGAGGACUCUCGGGAUGACCAGACAGGAGGAACGUGAGGAUAUGCACUUCUGUGGAAAGGAGGAACCGGAAGAAGCAGUCCUCCUAGCACACCUGCUUUUAAACUCGAAGGCUAAAAACCCCGUAUCAGACUCCUACUGCCCAGCCAGCAGCACGGCAAAGAAGGAAGGAAGGUGGAAAACCAUUAAAGGCCUACAAUGGGGAGAAAGAGGAGGCGGCGUGGCAUUUUUUUUCAAUGACAUCUUUGCAACCCUACUCCAAAGAAUGACCAGAAGCAUAUUUCAUGACCUCGUUUGCGAUAAUCUUGAAGCCGUUCGACCAUUCUACAUAAUCCCCAUCAUCAACAGAUACCAUCUAAAAUCUUAG
This 1158-nucleotide long non-coding RNA is filed under the name Cyanistes caeruleus (blue tit). RNAcentral describes it as "lncRNA (ENSCCEG00000018242.1)". The record is from RNAcentral. Lineage: Eukaryota; Metazoa; Chordata; Aves; Passeriformes; Paridae.